Molecule: ribosomal RNA, 465 nt
Filed under: Enterobacter sp. oral taxon C98
Lineage: Bacteria; Pseudomonadati; Pseudomonadota; Gammaproteobacteria; Enterobacterales; Enterobacteriaceae
Description: bacterial SSU rRNA
Rfam family: Bacterial small subunit ribosomal RNA
Source: RNAcentral
AUUGAACGCUGGCGGCAGGCCUAACACAUGCAAGUCGAACGGUAGCACAGAGAGCUUGCUCUCGGGUGACGAGUGGCGGACGGGUGAGUAAUGUCUGGGAAACUGCCUGAUGGAGGGGGAUAACUACUGGAAACGGUAGCUAAUACCGCAUAACGUCGCAAGACCAAAGAGGGGGACCUUCGGGCCUCUUGCCAUCAGAUGUGCCCAGAUGGGAUUAGCUAGUAGGUGGGGUAACGGCUCACCUAGGCGACGAUCCCUAGCUGGUCUGAGAGGAUGACCAGCCACACUGGAACUGAGACACGGUCCAGACUCCUACGGGAGGCAGCAGUGGGGAAUAUUGCACAAUGGGCGCAAGCCUGAUGCAGCCAUGCCGCGUGUAUGAAGAAGGCCUUCGGGUUGUAAAGUACUUUCAGCGGGGAGGAAGGUGUUGAGGUUAAUAACCUCAGCAAUUGACGUACCCGCAGA